RNAcentral lists this transfer RNA (75 nucleotides) under Crassvirales sp. RNAcentral's name for it is "tRNA-Phe". It matches the Rfam family "tRNA". From Rfam's summary of the family: Transfer RNA (tRNA) molecules are approximately 80 nucleotides in length. Their secondary structure includes four short double-helical elements and three loops (D, anti-codon, and T loops). The record is from RNAcentral. Lineage: Duplodnaviria; Heunggongvirae; Uroviricota; Caudoviricetes; Crassvirales.
GGGUACUGGGCAGGUCUGGUGACAUUGCGUGAGACUGAAAAUCUCAAGAAUAAAGUUCGAUUCUUUGAGUACCCA